CAGCAGCCGCGGGAAUACAGAUGGUGCGAGCGUUAAUCGGAUUUACUGGGCGUAAAGCGUGCGUAGGCGGCUUCUUAAGUCGGAUGUGAAAUCCCUGAGCUUAACUUAGGAAUUGCAUUCGAUACUGGGAAGCUAGAGUAUGGGAGAGGAUGGUAGAAUUCCAGGUGUAGCGGUGAAAUGCGUAGAGAUCUGGAGGAAUACCGAUGGCGAAGGCAGCCAUCUGGCCUAAUACUGACGCUGAGGUACGAAAGCAUGGGGAGCAAACAGGAUUAGAUACCCGAGUAGUCCCUGUCUCUUAUAC
RNAcentral lists this ribosomal RNA (301 nucleotides) under uncultured bacterium. RNAcentral describes it as "partial 16S ribosomal RNA". It matches the Rfam family "Bacterial small subunit ribosomal RNA", at positions 509 to 807 of the family's 1533-position model. The record is from RNAcentral.